GGUGGUAGUAGUCCCAUGUCAGUACCUGUUCAGUACCUGGAUGGGAAACUGCCUGGGAACACCGGGUGUUGUCAGCU
This 77-nucleotide ribosomal RNA is filed under the name Eptatretus burgeri (inshore hagfish). The record is from RNAcentral. Lineage: Eukaryota; Metazoa; Chordata; Myxini; Myxiniformes; Myxinidae.